UACAGAGGAUGCAAGCGUUAUCCGGAAUUAUUGGGCGUAAAGCGUCCGUAGAUGGUUUUUUAAGUUUAAUGUUAAAUUGCAGGGCUUAACUUUGAAAAUGCAUUGAAAACUGAAAAACUUUAGUACGAUAGAGGCAAAGGGAAUUUUCAGUGUAGCGGUGAAAUGCGUAGAUAUUGGAAAGAACACCUAUUGCGAAGGCACUUUGCUAGGUUGAUACUGAAAUUGAGGGACGAAAGCUAGGGUAG
RNAcentral lists this ribosomal RNA (245 nucleotides) under uncultured bacterium. Its description in RNAcentral is "partial 16S ribosomal RNA". It matches the Rfam family "Bacterial small subunit ribosomal RNA", at positions 524 to 768 of the family's 1533-position model. The record is from RNAcentral.